This 465-nucleotide ribosomal RNA is filed under the name Vreelandella stevensii. RNAcentral's name for it is "partial 16S ribosomal RNA". It matches the Rfam family "Bacterial small subunit ribosomal RNA", at positions 338 to 795 of the family's 1533-position model. The record is from RNAcentral. Lineage: Bacteria; Pseudomonadati; Pseudomonadota; Gammaproteobacteria; Oceanospirillales; Halomonadaceae.
CCUACGGGUGGCAGCAGUGGGGAAUAUUGGACAAUGGGGGCAACCCUGAUCCAGCCAUGCCGCGUGUGUGAAGAAGGCCCUCGGGUUGUAAAGCACUUUCAGUGAGGAAGAACGCCUGGUGGUUAAUACCCAUCAGGAAAGACAUCACUCACAGAAGAAGCACCGGCUAACUCCGUGCCAGCAGCCGCGGUAAUACGGAGGGUGCGAGCGUUAAUCGGAAUUACUGGGCGUAAAGCGCGCGUAGGUGGCUUGAUAAGCCGGUUGUGAAAGCCCCGGGCUCAACCUGGGAACGGCAUCCGGAACUGUCAAGCUAGAGUGCAGGAGAGGAAGGUAGAAUUCCCGGUGUAGCGGUGAAAUGCGUAGAGAUCGGGAGGAAUACCAGUGACGAAGGCGGCCUUCUGGACUGACACUGACACUGAGGUGCGAAAGCGUGGGUAGCAAACAGGAUUAGAUACCCUUGUAGUC